UACGUAGGCAGCAAGCGUUGUUCGGAGUUACUGGGCGUAAAGGGUGUGUAGGCGGUCCUCUAAGUUUGGUGUGAAAUCUCCCGGCUCAACUGGGAGGGUGCGCCGAAAACUGGGGGGCUAGAGUGCGGGAUGGGAAAGUGGAAUUCCUGGUGUAGCGGUGAAAUGCGUAGAUAUCAGGAGGAACACCUGUGGUGUAGACGGCUUUCUGGACCGCAACUGACGCUGAGACACGAAAGCGUGGGUAGCAAACAGG
This 253-nucleotide ribosomal RNA is filed under the name uncultured bacterium. RNAcentral describes it as "partial 16S ribosomal RNA". It matches the Rfam family "Bacterial small subunit ribosomal RNA", at positions 524 to 776 of the family's 1533-position model. The record is from RNAcentral.